Molecule: transfer RNA, 72 nt
Filed under: Ictidomys tridecemlineatus (thirteen-lined ground squirrel)
Lineage: Eukaryota; Metazoa; Chordata; Mammalia; Rodentia; Sciuridae
Description: Spermophilus tridecemlineatus (thirteen-lined ground squirrel) tRNA
Rfam family: tRNA
About the family: Transfer RNA (tRNA) molecules are approximately 80 nucleotides in length.
Source: Rfam by way of RNAcentral
AGGGUUGUGGCUCAGUGGUGGAGCGCUUGCCUGGCAUGUGAGAAGCCCUGGGUUCCAUCCCCAGCAUCACAU